CCUACGGGAGGCAGCAGUGAGGAAUCUUCCACAAUGGGCGAAAGCCUGAUGGAGCAAUGCCGCGUGCAGGAUGACGGCCUUCGGGUUGUAAACUGCUUUUAUAUGGGAAGAUUAUGACGGUACCAUAUGAAUAAGGACCGGCUAACUACGUGCCAGCAGCCGCGGUAAUACGUAGGGUCCAAGCGUUAUCCGGAAUCACUGGGCGUAAAGCGUUUGUAGGCGGAAAUCUAAGUGAGAUGCGAAAUCUUGUGGCUCAACCAUAUAGACGGUAUCUCAUACUGGGUUUCUAGAAGAUAGCAGAGGUAAGUGGAAUUAGUAGUGUAGCGGUAAAAUGCGUAGAUAUUACUAGGAACACCAAUGGCGAAGGCAGCUUACUGGGCUAUAUUUGACGCUGAGAAACGAAAGCGUGGGGAGCGAACAGGAUUAGAUACCCUGGUAGUCCACGCCGUAAACGAUGUGUGCUAUUAGUUCGAGGUAUCGACCCCUUGGGCUGAACAGCUAACGCGUUAAGCACACCGCCUUGGGGGAGGACGAGCGCGAGACUAACUACAAGAAGUAGUAGACGNGNGAGAGCGACGACGACGACGACGGAGGAGGAG
Molecule: ribosomal RNA, 599 nt
Filed under: uncultured bacterium
Lineage: Bacteria
Description: bacterial SSU rRNA
Rfam family: Bacterial small subunit ribosomal RNA (bases 1-520)
Source: RNAcentral